RNAcentral lists this ribosomal RNA (1010 nucleotides) under Psalmopoeus irminia. RNAcentral's name for it is "SSU rRNA". It matches the Rfam family "Eukaryotic small subunit ribosomal RNA", at positions 702 to 1733 of the family's 1831-position model. Lineage: Eukaryota; Metazoa; Arthropoda; Arachnida; Araneae; Theraphosidae. The record is from RNAcentral.
GCCGGUUUCCCUAGAUGAUCUUCACCGGUUGUCCUGGGUGACCGGCACGUUUACUUUGAAAAAAUUAGAGUGCUCAAAGCAGGCGCGUAGCCUGGAUAAUGGUGCAUGGAAUAAUGGAAUAGGACUUCGUUUCUAUUUUGUUGGUUUUCGGAACACGAGGUAAUGAUUAAGAGGGACAGACGGGGGCAUUCGUAUUGCGACGCUAGAGGUGAAAUUCUUGGACCGUCGCAAGACGAACUACUGCGAAAGCAUUUGCCAAGAAUGUUUUCAUUAAUCAAGAACGAAAGUUAGAGGUUCGAAGGCGAUCAGAUACCGCCCUAGUUCUAACCAUAAACGAUGCCAACCAGCGAUCCGCCUGAGUUCCUCAAAUGACUCGGCGGGCAGCUUCUGGGAAACCAAAGUGUUUGGGUUCCGGGGGAAGUAUGGUUGCAAAGCUGAAACUUAAAGGAAUUGACGGAAGGGCACCACCAGGCGUGGAGCUUGCGGUUUAAUUUGACUCAACACGGGGAAACUCACCCGGCCCGGACACUGGAAGGAUUGACAGAUUAAGAGCUCUUUCUUGAUUCAGCGGGUGGUGGUGCAUGGCCGUUCUUAGUUGGUGGAGCGAUUUGUCUGGUUAAUUCCGAUAACGAGCGAGAUUCUAUCCUACUAAAUAGGCGUCCCGAUCACUCCCGUCGGGCGUUCUUCUUAGAGGGACAAGUGGCGUUUAGCCGCACGAGACAGAGCAAUAACAGGUCUGUGAUGCCCUUAGAUGGUCGGGGCUGCACGCGUGCUACACUGAAGGAAUCAGCGUGUGCUUUCCCUGUCCGGAAGGACUGGGUAACCCGUUGAACCUCCUUCGUGAUAGGGAUAGGGGCUUGUAAUUGUUCCCCUUGAACGAGGAAUGCCCAGUAAGCGCGAGUCAUAAGCUCGUGUUGAUUACGUCCCUGCCCUUUGUACACACCGCCCGUCGCUACUACCGAUUGAAUGAUUUAGUGAGGUCUUCGGACUGGCGCUCGGAGCGGCCGCAA